RNAcentral lists this ribosomal RNA (500 nucleotides) under uncultured bacterium. Its description in RNAcentral is "bacterial SSU rRNA". It matches the Rfam family "Bacterial small subunit ribosomal RNA", at positions 32 to 509 of the family's 1533-position model. The record is from RNAcentral.
AAUCAACGCUGGCGGCGUGCCUAACACAUGCAAGUCGAACGCGACUUGGGCUUCGGCUCAAGUUGAGUGGCGAACGGGUGAGUAACACGUGGGUGACCUACCUUCGAGUGGGGGAUAACGUCCCGAAAGGGACGCUAAUACCGCAUAACAUCCUGCCUUUGAAGAGGUGGAGAUCAAAGCUGGGGAUCGCAAGACCUGGCGCUUGAUGAGGGGCCCGCGCCUGAUUAGCUAGUUGGUGGGGUAAUGGCUCACCAAGGCAACGAUCAGUAUCCGGCCUGAGAGGGCGGACGGACACACUGGGACUGAGACACGGCCCAGACUCCUACGGGAGGCAGCAGUGGGGAAUUGUUCGCAAUGGGGCGCAAGCCUGACGACGCAACGCCGCGUGGAGGAUGAAGGUCUUCGGAUUGUAAACUCCUGUUGCUCGGGACGAAAAGCCUCGACCUAACACGUCGAGGUCUGACGGUACCGAGUGAGGAAGCCCCGGCUAACUCUGUGCC